UACGUAGGGUGCGAGCGUUAAUCGGAAUUACUGGGCGUAAAGCGUGCGCAGGCGGUUCCGCAAGUCAGAUGUGAAAUCCCCGGGCUUAACCUGGGAACUGCGCUUGAAACUACGGAGCUAGAGUACGGCAGAGGGGGGUGGAAUUCCACGUGUAGCAGUGAAAUGCGUAGAUAUGUGGAGGAACACCGAUGGCGAAGGCAGCCCCCUGGGCCGAUACUGACGCUCAGGCACGAAAGCGUGGGGAGCAAACAGG
Molecule: unclassified non-coding RNA, 253 nt
Filed under: uncultured Gammaproteobacteria bacterium
Lineage: Bacteria; Pseudomonadati; Pseudomonadota; Gammaproteobacteria
Description: contains 16S-23S intergenic spacer region
Rfam family: Bacterial small subunit ribosomal RNA
Source: RNAcentral